AUCCAUAUUUUGUUUGGAAUAACUGUAAUUUGUGUAUUUGUGUAGCCUUGUUUUGAAGGUUGACCUCGAUAGCUGAAAUAGAUGACAAAAAGGAAAAUUGAAAGAUUGUUGUUCGAGUGAUUAACAUAUGGACCAUACCAAGAUCGCCUAAGUGUGUUGUUGAGCUAAUUUUAGUUGACAAGAAGGUCAAGUUAACUGAUUUUUCCUAGAUAUGUUGUAUGUAUUGGUUGUUGAUUGUUGUUUAUAGCAAAUCUUUUAAAAAAUGCCACUGCUCAUGUUGAUUGUCUAGGGUGAUAAAAUUCUAGCACAAAUGAGGAAUGUUGAUGUUCAACUCAACAAUGCUAAUUUUGAUGUUGGUCACACAUAUGUUAUCUAGAACUUUGAAGUUGAAAAAAAUAGUGGUCAUUAUAAAGCAACAUGUCAUGGAUUUAAAAUAAAUUUUGUAAAAGCAACUAAAGUCACAACUCACGAAAUACCAGAAAUACCUAAAACAAUGUUCAAUUUUACAACGUUUGAUGACAUUGUAAGUGGCUUAAUCAUCAGUCAUCACUGACUUUUUGAUAGGUACAUUUUUAAAAUAUGUGCUUAUUGAACAACUUUAAAUGUUUGUGUGGUUGGUCUGUCUAAUGAUGGGUUUUGUUUAACAAUGGGUUUUGUUUGAAGAUGUUAUUGGUGAGGUUGUUGAGAUUUGGCAGUGGAAUCUGCACGGCAAGCCAAAGAAAGUUGUGUUUACUAUGAAGAAUGGAUGAUAUUCAUUAUUGUUUACAAAAACAGAAAUUGGAGUCAAUUUCAAAUGUUAGCUGCAUGAAUAAUUCCUUUUUAAUGUGACAUAGUGGAAGUAUGAUGAGUUGUACUUUGUGGGAGUCACUGGCUCUGGAGUUUAAGGAUUGUUUUGAUAGGCAUGUUUCUGGUCCUGUGGUGUUGUUGCUCAGUCUGGCUAAAAUCAUAGAAGCAAAAGGCACUUAUCCAAUAACAAUAUAGAAUUCAAUGUAUGGUUCUCAAAUUUUUGUGAAUACUGACAUGAAAGAAAUUCUGGAGUUCAAGGAUCAGUUUGUCACUGCAUUCAUGAUACUUCAAUCUAUGUUGUCAUUUAGUUGUGAAUAUUUUAAAUUUAUUCAUCAUGUGGACAUAUGUUUACCUAUUUUAGAAUUGAUCCGACACAGGUAACAACAGUUCCGUGUACCCAAAUAGGCAGUCAAAUUUCAGGAUCUUUUAUGUAUUCUAUUGCGGAUCGGUUUCUCUAUAAUGCCCAAGUGAAAUGCUUUGAUCAACUUAGCCAAUUGAAAAAGGAGUGUAUGUGCGUCACUAUGGCUACUAUAAGCAAGUUGUUGGUAGCAAAUGGGUGGAUUUAUGAUGGGUGUCCCAAAUGUAACAAAAAGCUGAUGGAGAGGGUUCGUCAUUUGUAUGUGUUAGGUGUGGUAAUAUGAGUGCAAGUACAGUUGCAAAGUUUCGUGUGGAUGUCAGAGUUGGUCAACCUAAUGAGUCUACAAUUUUUACACUGUGGGAUUGAGAAUGUUAUGCGCUGAUAAAAGAGACUGCAGAUGAGAUUAAGCAGAAAAUGAUUGAUGAGGAUGAAGCUUCGCCUUCCAUAUCGACAAUGCACAGGAUUAAUUAUGUUGGUGAUAGUGGGGCGAGGGGAGUCUUUUAAUGCAUUAAAACAAUUGUUUAAGGCCUAAUUUCAAGAGAGGUACAUUAUCACAAGAAGAAAAAAUCAUUAUUGCUAUUGGAGCAGUAGAGGCCCUAUCAUAUCUACAUCAUGAAUGUGUUCCACCGAUUGUUCACAUGUAUUUCUAUAUUUCUAGACAACAAAUAUAAAGUUCAAUUAGGGAGUUUAAGUGAAGUCUAUGCUCAAGAAGCUGAUAUUCAUCAAAGUAAAAUCACUCGGUUUCUGCGGUUGCCUCAGGUGUUUCGAUUGGUCCCUUUUGUUUUGUUAGCUCCUCUGCAAAGCUGGGGAAUGAUUGUCAACUAUAUCCCGGAAGCCAUCUUUUUGUAAGUACAGAGUUAGGGGACAAUUGCAUGUUGAUGAUUGGUGCUUUUGUUGGUGAUGAUCAUCCUGGAUGUACUAUUAUUGGAAGCAAUAACACAAUAGGAUAUCACGCUGUGAUUGGUGUCAAAUGUCAAGACAUGAAAUACAAGACUGUGAUUAAUGAAUUAGAAAUUGUUGCAACCUACUCUAUGAUGGGAGUGCGGGCGAAAAGCCAAAGGUGUGUCUUCCAAAAAAGGAAAAUGCGUGGGAGUCGCCACCAAUGUUUAUUCGAGGAAAACGUUAGAAAAAUAAAAAAGAAAGGUCUGCGAAUUUUGAAAAUAAGGAUUCGGGAGAUUUUUACGCAUGAGGAAGGU
This is a long non-coding RNA of Glycine soja, 2340 nucleotides long. RefSeq lists it as uncharacterized. The record is from RefSeq and is a predicted model, not a curated record. NCBI's taxonomy places the organism in Eukaryota, Viridiplantae, Streptophyta, Magnoliopsida, Fabales, Fabaceae. The transcript is spliced from 9 exons.